AUGCACGCUGGCGGCGUGCCUAAUCCCUGCCAGUCGCGCGAACAGACGAGGAGCUUGCUCCUCUGACGUUAGCGGCGGACGGGUGAGUAACACGUGGAUAACCUACCUAUAAGACUGGGAUAACUUCGGGAAACCGGAGCUAAUACCGGAUAAUAUAUUGAACCGCAUGGUUCAAUAGUGAAAGACGGUUUUGCUGUCACUUAUAGAUGGAUCCGCGCCGCAUUAGCUAGUUGGUAAGGUAACGGCUUACCAAGGCAACGAUGCGUAGCCGACCUGAGAGGGUGAUCGGCCACACUGGAACGGAGACACGGUCCAGACUCCUACGGGAGGCAGCAGUAGGGAAUCUUCCGCAAUGGGCGAAAGCCUGACGGAGCAACGCCGCGUGAGUGAUGAAGGUCUUCGGAUCGUAAAACUCUGUUAUUAGGGAAGAACAAAUGUGUAAGUAACUAUGCACGUCUUGACGGUACCUAAUCAGAAAGCCACGGCUAACUACGUG
RNAcentral lists this ribosomal RNA (496 nucleotides) under uncultured bacterium. RNAcentral's name for it is "partial 16S ribosomal RNA". It matches the Rfam family "Bacterial small subunit ribosomal RNA", at positions 29 to 507 of the family's 1533-position model. The record is from RNAcentral.